This 1207-nucleotide long non-coding RNA is filed under the name Anser brachyrhynchus (Pink-footed goose). Its description in RNAcentral is "lncRNA (ENSABRG00000010222.1)". The record is from RNAcentral. Lineage: Eukaryota; Metazoa; Chordata; Aves; Anseriformes; Anatidae.
AUGGAGGAAAGCGAUCUCUGCACGUUCCUUCUAAUCUCUGGGAAUAUCUCUCCCUACCUGGGCUCCCUGGCCUCCUUUUUCAGAGACUUCUGUGAGGUCACCAUAUGGUUCCUUUCUUUGUUCUUCACUCUCAUCCUUCUGAGACUUGAAGCAAUUAAUAAUGGCAUUAUCUUCAAGGUUCUGGGUAUCUCAGAGUUCCUGCAGUGAGGUACAUUGUGGGACAAUCCUGCAGCGAAGACAGUGAACACCACACCUCUGCCCUCUUUCUUUAAAAGGACCUCUUUUUUUUUUUGCUGAGACUUAGGGAGGCAAGACAGACUACAUGAUAACGUAUUUCUGUGUGAGAAGUCAUUUUUGGCUAUAACCUCACUUUUAAAAAAGUUCGUACAUGCAAGAUUAAGGAGGGUGCGAAUAACCUGGUUUAUUUUUUGAAAGAGUGACUCACAUGCAGUAUGUUGGAUUCUGGGAUGGCUUUGUUAUUUGUUAUGUUUUAUCAAUACAUCUGUAUACCACAGUCACAGGUCAGAAUCUGAUUCUGUCAGCACUCUACAGACACGAUACGAAGAUGUCAGCUGUUGACCUGAAGGUCUGUCUUAUUCUUAGAUUUUGAGACAAAGGCAGUUGGAUACGGGAAGAUAGGGCUGCCUAAGGCAACAAUAAUAGGUGAGCAAAAUAAGCAUUUCUUUUCUCGUCAUGGUUACAGCCUCCUUGGUAGCUGAAAAAUACAUAAUGAGAACUUAGAAGACACAAAAUGGCAUAGUGAAUGCUUAUGGAGAAGCUAUUUAUUUAGGUUACCUCCCAAGAGAGUUGCUCCAGGACCUUGACUGUAAGUCUUCUGGGGUUAACAUUAACAUUUUAUUUUGGAUCAGGAGCAAGUUUUUGAAGCAAACCUUCUGAUUAUCCCUUCUUACUGCACAUCGUUUUACACUACAGAGUGGUCCCUGAGCACAUGAAUUGGAUUCCUUUUGAGGGAAACUAAAUCAGAAGUGUGUUCCAACUGCCAUGGGUAAUCAGGCCUACAGAAUCAAACAAGAGAUAAUCGUAAAGUAAAAAAAAAAAAAAAAAAAACAACAAAAACAUGUUUAGCAUGGAGUCAAAGUCCUCAAAAUCAGUUGCUUCACUCUAAAGAUCCACGCCUAUUGCAUGAUAUUGCUUGGUAGUGUAGACAUAUGUUUCUUUUAUAUAUUUUUGAAAGGAAUUAUUUUAU